This 432-nucleotide ribosomal RNA is filed under the name Sphingomonas sp. DNB4. RNAcentral's name for it is "bacterial SSU rRNA". It matches the Rfam family "Bacterial small subunit ribosomal RNA", at positions 131 to 597 of the family's 1533-position model. The record is from RNAcentral. Lineage: Bacteria; Pseudomonadati; Pseudomonadota; Alphaproteobacteria; Sphingomonadales; Sphingomonadaceae.
CUUGGGUACGGAAUAACUCAGAGAAAUUUGUGCUAAUACCGUAUAAUGUCUUCGGACCAAAGAUUUAUCGCCCAAGGGUGAGCCCGCGUAGGAUUAGCUAGUUGGUGAGGUAAAAGCUCACCAAGGCGACGAUCCUUAGCUGGUCUGAGAGGAUGAUCAGCCACACUGGGACUGAAACACGGCCCAGACUCCUACGGGAGGCAGCAGUGGGGAAUAUUGGACAAUGGGCGAAAGCCUGAUCCAGCAAUGCCGCGUGAGUGAUGAAGGCCCUAGGGUUGUAAAGCUCUUUUACCCGGGAUGAUAAUGACAGUACCGGGAGAAUAAGCUCCGGCUAACUUCGUGCCAGCAGCCGCGGUAAUACGAGGGGAGCUAGCGUUGUUCGGGAUUACUGGGCGUAAAGCGCGCGUAGGCGGUUUUUUAAGUCAGAGGUGA